CUUGCCCCAAGAUUUCGUCUUGGGUCAGAGGCAGCCCUUCUAGAAACAACUUGACUUUUUGGCUCCAUGUGGGCAGAAAAAGAAGUUCUAUAGCUUUGGGCAACUCAGACAUCCUCAGUUUGUCCCACAUGCACAGAAAUGGUGGUGAAGUGAUAUCAUCUCCAUUUGACAUACAAGGAAGGAGAGGAAAAGAAAAAUCAGUGCUGAGAAGCGCUGUUGAAGAAUCCAGUGUAAACGCAGCCAUUUUCUCCUUCAUGUAUGCUUCUCCUUCAAGCUGGGUAUCUGUUGUGGUCAUGGUUAGGACUUGGAAGCUGUCUGUCUCAGCAACAGGCUGCAACGUUUGCUUUUCUCCUCCUCUGAGCGCUGUUACCUCAGCAUCUGCAACCCUGGCAGCGUUCAGGUCUGUUCAGGCAUGUCAGUCCACCAGAGCCUGA
This 434-nucleotide long non-coding RNA is filed under the name Apteryx owenii (little spotted kiwi). Its description in RNAcentral is "lncRNA (ENSAOWG00000017561.1)". The record is from RNAcentral. Lineage: Eukaryota; Metazoa; Chordata; Aves; Apterygiformes; Apterygidae.